UACGUAGGGGGCAAGCGUUGUCCGGAAUCAUUGGGCGUAAAGAGCGUGUAGGCGGCUUGGCAAGUCUGGUGUGAAAUCUUGCGGCUCAACCGCAAGCGGUCACUGGAAACUGCCUCGCUAGAGUCCGGAAGAGGAGAGCGGAAUUCCUGGUGUAGCGGUGGAAUGCGCAGAUAUCAGGAGGAACACCGAUGGCGAAGGCAGGUCUCUGGGCCGAUACUGACGCUGAGGAGCGAAAGCGUGGGGAGCGAACAGG
RNAcentral lists this ribosomal RNA (253 nucleotides) under uncultured bacterium. RNAcentral describes it as "partial 16S ribosomal RNA". It matches the Rfam family "Bacterial small subunit ribosomal RNA", at positions 524 to 776 of the family's 1533-position model. The record is from RNAcentral.